GCUCCUUCUUCUUGAGAC
This 18-nucleotide small nuclear RNA is filed under the name Arabidopsis thaliana (thale cress). RNAcentral describes it as "snRNA_15830". The record is from RNAcentral. Lineage: Eukaryota; Viridiplantae; Streptophyta; Magnoliopsida; Brassicales; Brassicaceae.